UACGUAGGGAGCGAGCGUUAUCCGGAUUUAUUGGGUGUAAAGGGUGCGUAGACGGGUAAUUAAGUUAGUUGUGAAAUCCCAUGGCUCAACUGUGGAACUGCAACUAAAACUAAAUAUCUUGAGUACUGGAGAGGAAAGUGGAAUUCCUAGUGUAGCGGUGAAAUGCGUAGAUAUUAGGAGGAACACCAGUGGCGAAGGCGACUUUCUGGACAGAAACUGACGUUGAGGCACGAAAGUGUGGGGAGCAAACAGG
This 253-nucleotide ribosomal RNA is filed under the name uncultured bacterium. Its description in RNAcentral is "partial 16S ribosomal RNA". It matches the Rfam family "Bacterial small subunit ribosomal RNA", at positions 524 to 776 of the family's 1533-position model. The record is from RNAcentral.